RNAcentral lists this unclassified non-coding RNA (180 nucleotides) under uncultured Inocybe. RNAcentral's name for it is "sequence contains ITS2". Lineage: Eukaryota; Fungi; Basidiomycota; Agaricomycetes; Agaricales; Cortinariaceae. The record is from RNAcentral.
AACUUCUCUCAACUGCAUCACUCAGUCUGAUGUGGCUUGGACGUGGGGCUUGCAGGCUUUGAAUGAAGUCUGCUCCCCUGAAAUGAAUUAGUGGUAUCUGAGCUGCCAAUAGAUGUGAUAAUUAUCUACUUCUUUUGGUCAUGCUGGUUGUGCUGCUUCUAACAAACACUUGUUUGACAA